AUGAAACACUCCUACGGGAGGCAGCAGUGGGGGAUAUUGCACAAUGGAGGAAACUCUGAUGCAGCGACGCCGCGUGAGUGAAGAAGUAUUUCGGUAUGUAAAGCUCUAUCAGCAGGGAAGAUGAUGACGGUACCUGACUAAGAAGCCCCGGCUAACUACGUGCCAGCAGCCGCGGUAAUACGUAUGUCACAAGCGUUAUCCGGAUUUAUUGGGCGUAAAGCGCGUCUAGGUGGUUAUGUAAGUCUGAUGUGAAAAUGCAGGGCUCAACUCUGUAUUGCGUUGGAAACUGUGUAACUAGAGUACUGGAGAGGUAAGCGGAACUACAAGUGUAGAGGUGAAAUUCGUAGAUAUUUGUAGGAAUGCCGAUGGGGAAGCCAGCUUACUGGACAGAUACUGACGCUAAAGCGCGAAAGCGUGGGUAGCAAACAGGAUUAGAUACCCGUGUAGUCCGAAGUUC
This 457-nucleotide ribosomal RNA is filed under the name uncultured bacterium. RNAcentral describes it as "bacterial SSU rRNA". It matches the Rfam family "Bacterial small subunit ribosomal RNA", at positions 328 to 802 of the family's 1533-position model. The record is from RNAcentral.